GACGAACGCUGGCGGCGUGCCUAAUACAUGCAAGUUGAGCGAUGAAGCUUGGUGCUUGCCCCAAUUUGAAGAGCAGCGAACGGGUGAGUAACGCGUGGGGAAUCUGCCUUUGAGCGGGGGACAACAUUUGGAAACGAAUGCUAAUACCGCAUAACAACUUUAAACAUAAGUUUUAAGUUUGAAGGAUGCAAUUGCAUCACUCAAAGAUGAUCCCGCGUUGUAUUAGCUAGUUGGUGAGGUAAAGGCUCACCAAGGCGAUGAUACAUAGCCGACCUGAGAGGGUGAUCGGCCACAUUGGGACUGAGACACGGCCCAAACUCCUACGGGAGGCAGCAGUAGGGAAUCUUCGGCAAUGGACGAAAGUCUGACCGAGCAACGCCGCGGGAGUGAAGAAGGUUUUCGGAUCGUAAAACUCUGUUGGUAGAGAAGAACGUUGGUGAGAGUGGAAAGCUCAUCAAGUGACGGUAACUACCCAGAAAGGGACGGCUAACUACGUG
Molecule: ribosomal RNA, 497 nt
Filed under: uncultured bacterium
Lineage: Bacteria
Description: partial 16S ribosomal RNA
Rfam family: Bacterial small subunit ribosomal RNA
Source: RNAcentral